CCUAACGAUACGCAUUGCGUAGUGUCCACACAGAUUGUCUGAUAGAAAGUAACGAGCAAAUAAGGCCGGACUGAGAAAUUAGUCGGGCUUUAGUACCUUGUUGGGUCUGUAGCUCAGGUGGUUAGAGCGCACCCCUGAUAAGGGUGAGGUCGGUGGUUCAAGUCCACUCAGACCCACCAACUCACCAUUCCCUGUUGAGUUGCAGCAAUAAGGUGAUUUGCUUUUUAUAUGGGGCUAUAGCUCAGCUGGGAGAGCGCCUGCCUUGCACGCAGGAGGUCAGCGGUUCGAUCCCGCUUAGCUCCACCAUAUAAAAAAAUUAUUUCAAAAUGUACUGCGGUCGCAAGACACAGUGUGUUGUGAAAUAUUGCUCUUUAACAAUCUGGAACAAGCUGAAAAUUGAAACAAUACAGCUGAAACUUAUCUCUCCGUAGAAGUACUGAGAUAAGGAUUAACCUGUAUUAGAGUCUCUCAAAUAAUCACAGCACAAGUUGUCUGUAAAGACACCUUCGGGUUGUGAG
RNAcentral lists this unclassified non-coding RNA (518 nucleotides) under uncultured bacterium. RNAcentral's name for it is "16S-23S ribosomal RNA intergenic spacer". The stretch from base 103 to 176 matches the Rfam family "tRNA". The record is from RNAcentral.